CCUACGGGUGGCAGCAGUGAGGAAUAUUGGUCAAUGGACGAGAGUCUGAACCAGCCAAGUAGCGUGAAGGAUGACUGCCCUAUGGGUUGUAAACUUCUUUUAUAAAGGAAUAAAACGAGGCACGUGUGCCUGUUUGCAUGUACUUUAUGAAUAAGGAUCGGCUAACUCCGUGCCAGCAGCCGCGGUAAUACGGAGGAUCCGAGCGUUAUCCGGAUUUAUUGGGUUUAAAGGGAGCGUAGAUGGGUUGUUAAGUCAGUUGUGAAAGUUUGCGGCUCAACCUUAAAAUUGCAAUUGAUACUGGCAGUCUUGAGUACAGUUGAGGUAGGCGGAAUUCGUGGUGUAGCGGUGACAUGCUUAGAUAUCACGCAGAACCCCGAUUGCGAAGGCAGCUUACUAAACUGUGACUGACAUUGAUGCUCGAAAGUGUGGGUAUCAAACAGGAUUAGAUACCCUUGUAGUC
This 460-nucleotide ribosomal RNA is filed under the name uncultured bacterium. Its description in RNAcentral is "partial 16S ribosomal RNA". It matches the Rfam family "Bacterial small subunit ribosomal RNA", at positions 338 to 795 of the family's 1533-position model. The record is from RNAcentral.